GAACGAGUUAUCUGAACCUUCGGGGAACGAUAACGGCGUCGAGCGGCGGACGGGUGAGUAAUGCCUAGGAAAUUGCCCUGAUGUGGGGGAUAACCAUUGGAAACGAUGGCUAAUACCGCAUAAUGCCUACGGGUCAAAGAGGGGGACCUUCGGGCCUCUCGCGUCAGGAUAUGCCUAGGUGGGAUUAGCUAGUUGGUGAGGUAAUGGCUCACCAAGGCGACGAUCCCUAGCUGGUCUGAGAGGAUGAUCAGCCACACUGGAACUGAGACACGGUCCAGACUCCUACGGGAGGCAGCAGUGGGGAAUAUUGCACAAUGGGCGCAAGCCUGAUGCAGCCAUGCCGCGUGUGUGAAGAAGGCCUUCGGGUUGUAAAGCACUUUCAGUCGUGAGGAAGGUAGUGUAGUUAAUAGCUGCAUUAUUUGACGUUAGCGACAGAAGAAGCACCGGCUAACUCCGUGCCAGC
This 463-nucleotide ribosomal RNA is filed under the name bacterium 1611-S1-01-1.3. Its description in RNAcentral is "bacterial SSU rRNA". It matches the Rfam family "Bacterial small subunit ribosomal RNA", at positions 64 to 512 of the family's 1533-position model. The record is from RNAcentral.